RNA transcript from Ictalurus furcatus (blue catfish), 3822 nucleotides. It is a transcript of the gene named cadherin-like and PC-esterase domain containing 1, with no coding region annotated. The record is from RefSeq and is a predicted model, not a curated record. Lineage: Eukaryota; Metazoa; Chordata; Actinopteri; Siluriformes; Ictaluridae. The transcript is spliced from 19 exons.
GCGCUUUUUUUCUUUUCUUCACCUCUUUCCUCAAGCUUUCCCUGCUUAUUCUGUAGCGUUUCCAACACUGCGUGAGGAUGUGGCCAGGUUUCUGAACGCGCUUUGCCUUGGCGAGGGUCAGUGUGCAUUAUUUUUCUCUUUUCCUCCAAAAAAGUUUGAAUGCCGCUGUGAAAGUUAGAUGCUUUCCUAAAUUGCGUGUGCGUGGAAUCCUGAGCGCAUCGGUGACCAUUUAGAAGGAAACCCGAGCGACUCGGACAUCCCGUCCCAUCCCAUCCAUGGUACCCUAUGUGUCUGGGCAUCGGGAUGCUGCUGCGCCGGAUCCUGGGGCUCGGGACUCUGAGGCGCACAUGGCGCACGGCCCCGCUUGUGCUCGUGGGGCUCGCUGUGUUUCUUAUCUACCACACCUCUGUGGUGAACCGGACAGGCUUCAGACCUGGACAAGAGGACCAAAAGAACAAAUCUGUGAUGAAGGACCGCACAGUGCUUCUCAAGCACCCAGAAGAGCUCGUCUCUUUCCUGGAAGCCUGGCAUGAUCACAAUGAAGUACACUGGUCUAAGAGGAGUUGUGCGGGGAAGGCCGUCAUGUUGACGGGGCAGCACGUCCCCUCAGACACAGAGGUGCAGCUUUAUCACCGUGUCCUCCUCGAGCGGGGAUACUGUGUCAAACAGGGUCGCUAUGCUGAGACCAGUUCCACUUUCGGACACAAUGGUGGAGAUGGUCGGGAAUGGUCUCUCUUGAUAUGUCUCAAAGGAACGGAAAAAAGUUGCCUCCGAAAAAUCAACUUUGCCCAUUCUCAGCCAUUCCAGAGGGUCAACAUUAUACCAGCGUUUGUUGGGGCUUUCAUGGACAUGGGCGGAGUCUGUCGAUUUCUACUGGACAGCCGUUUGUCAGGUAUGCCAUUACCCAUAAUUCCAUCUGCCUGCACCUUGUCUGGACCAGAGCUGGGAGGAAGUGCUCAUCACACUAAACAUAUCUGGAGCCAAGUUGGCCAGUCAGACUCCCCAGCCAAUCAUGGUCUAGUAGCCUUAAUGAAUGUAUAUGUCUUGGUCACAUCAGCGAUGCCCUUCACUGCAUUCCUGCAUCGCACAGGCUUGGUCAGGACUCAUCUGGACAAACACGGUCAUAUUACUAAGCUGCAGUCGUUCUUUACAGAUAGGCUGGAUCCUUCAGCGGCUCUCCAAGCUGCUGAACUCAUGAAGCAGGUCAUCAGUGAGGUUCUAACAGCUGCUGUUUUAACCACAGCCGACUCCAGCUCUCCACCGAGGUGUUCACUGUGUUUUCAGUUGAUGACCUUCACAUUGCAUUACAAUGCUUCUGUGUGUCCUGUAGUGGUUAAGGUGCAGACUGACUUGAACUUUGACGGUAUAAAAGAUCCAGACUUUGAUGGGCAGAUCACCAAAGAGUACAUUUUAGAAGAUAUGCUGAAGCUCCUCUUCCCAGCAUGUGGCAGUGAGGACGGAUCUCUUCCAAGUCCUCAGGGUACAGCAGAAAUCAAGUACAGUGGCUGCGAGCAGGCAAACGGUUUGUGCUUGACGGCGGAUAAAAUGCAGUUCCUGCUUCACUUUCAUCAGCAGCUCAAGAGAUCUGGCAGCUUUCAUCUGCUCUACCCCAGAUCAUCUCAUUUGUCCAAUCUCCAGCACAAUAUUGUUCAAAGAUUUCCUACAGCAGAGGAUUAUGCGAGGGCAGCAGGUCUCUCAGCCUUGCUCCAACAACUCAGCUCGUCCUACACACAGAGCAGUGAUGAUCCAGACAGGCCUGAGAAGUGGGAUUCCCAGCCAUCAGAAUCAGGGAGGUGUGUGGAGCCCCAUCUCCGUCAGCUAUAUACCGAUCCUCCUCUGGUUCUAACUCCGCUCUUUAACCCCUGGGUGAAGGAGUACCGCGCUGAGGUACCGUUCGACGUGGUCACUAUCCGGAUCAGGCCGGAACCCGUGAGCGCAAAGUGCCACGUUCACCUGGACGAACAUCGCGGCCCCAGAACGGCGAACUACCCGCUCGGCCUGGGCAACAGCCGCAUCAACAUUCUGCUGAUGGACGAGUCAGGGGAGGAGCCUGUCGUCAUGACGAUAUACACUCUGCACAUAUUCCGGGAGAGCCGGCCCAGCCUGCCGAUGUUUGACGAGUAUGUGAUGUGCGGCUUCAUACAGGACUGUGGCCUGGUGGUCAGACCUGAUCAACCCUGUGGUCUGGAGCCUGUUUCUGAGCUCAAAUCAUCUCAGCCUUGCUCUUCAGGAGAUGAACCUGGGCGCUGGGUGGUGCCAUGCCUUAGCUGUUCAGAUAACAGGACAUGUGAUUGGCGGGAAGUUGCCUGGCAACCGGACAGCUGUUACCACCCUGUAUUGGAGCAGCCACAGCUGCAGCGAUGCAUGAUGGACAAAAAGGUCCUGUUCAUCGGUGAUUCUACUAACCGGGGGAUGAUGUACUACCUGAUGGAGCGAGUAAACACUACACUGGAGGAUUGGGACAAGGCUCACGAUACCAUCAUCUACCACAAUCUGAACCAGGGCAGAACACUCAUCAGCUACUCCUAUUACCCCCAAUUCUGGCUGCACAGGAACCAGAGACCCACCUUCCAGCAAGCGCUGGAACAGCUCAUAGAAAGGGUCACGGGGAAACCUGGAGCCUAUCCCAGGGAGCAUCGGGCACAAGGUGGGGUACACCCUGGACAGGGUGCCAGUCCAUCGCAGGGCACAAUCACAUACACACUCACACACCCAUUCAUACACUGCGGACACUUUAGACAUGCAAUCAGCCUACUGAUUGUCUGCAUGUCUUUGGAGGAAACCGGAGUACCCGGAGGAAACCACGGUGGGACUCAAACUCCUGACCCUGGAGGUGUGAGGCGAACAUGCUAACCACUAAGCCACCAUGCGCCCUCAUACUUCUACCAGUUUUUUCCUAUUAAUUAUAGUUGUUGUUUUUCAGUCAGUUCAGUUCACGCUAAAUUCAUGUAUGUACCUGUUGAGCUUAAUAUGUUAUUAAUAAAACAGUCAGGGAAAUAAUCAACAACGGAGGGGUGUGAUGUGGCCCGACACAAAGAGGAACACUGUUUCUCACCCCGAUAACAGCAACUUCUGUUUUAUUCUUCUUUUACCACAGAAAUUUGCUAAAUAAGUUCCAUGUUAUAGCAGCUAUAAACAGCAAUGGGUUAUAACAGGUAUAUACAGUCAUUCCCACACUUUGGAGUUAAUAAACAUGACAUGUAACCAAUAAACGGCAAGAAUGCCCAAGAAACAGAAAAAGUCCUUUAUCCUGAAAAACAUUUCCACAUUGGAAAACUGUUAUAAAAUGCUGACACUGAAGACUCCUUCCAUUAAUGCUAACUAAGUGUCUCCAUACAGAAAACUUCUUUGUUAAUGAAGAGCAAAUAAGUUUAUUAUAAUAAACUUAGAUUAUGUGAAGGGGGUUUGGGGGCUUAGUGGUUAGCACGUUUGCCUCACACUUCCAUGGUUAGGGGUUCGAAUCCCACCUCUGCCCUGUGUGUGCUGAGUUUGCAUGUUCUCCCUGUGCUUUGGGGGUUUCCUCCCCAAGUCCAAAGACAUGUAUUCGUAGGCUGACUAGCCUUUCCAAUUUGUCCAUAUCGUGUGAAUGUGUGUAUGAUUGUGCCCUGUGAUGGGUUGGCACCCUGUCCAGGGUGUGCCUCGAGUUCCCUAGGCUCCCCCACAACCCUGUGUAGGAUAAGUGCUAUGGGAAACGGAUGGAUUAUGUGGAGCGUCCACCAUAAAAGUUCUUGUCACGACCUCUGGAAAACUCCCCUCAGACAGUGCUGGUUGCUGGAGGGGUCCAGUGGCUCAGUCUGGAGCAUCUGAGGACCAUGCAGCAGG